CCUACGGGGGGCAGCAGUGAGGAAUAUUGGUCAAUGGCCGCAAGCCUGAACCAGCCAAGUCGCGUGAAUGAAGAAGGCUCUAUGGUUUGUCAACUUCUUUUAUAGGGGAAUAAAGGUAUCCACGUGUGGCUUUUUUUAUGUACUUUAUGAAUAAGCAUCGGCUAACUCCGUGCCAGCAGCCGCGGUAAUACGGAGGAUGCGAGCGUUAUCCGGAUUUAUUGGGUUUAAAGGGAGCGUAGGUUGUUUAUUAAGUCAGAGGUGAAAGUUUGUGGCUCAACCAUAAAAUUGCAGUUGAUACUGGAAGACUUGAGUGUGGUUGAGGUAGGCGGAAUGCGUGGUGUAGCGGUGAAAUGCAUAGAUAUCACGAAGAACUCCGAUUGCGAAGGCAGCUGACUAAACCGCAACUGACACUGAGGCGCGAAAGCGUGGGGAUCAAACAGGAUUAGAUACCCUUGUAGUC
RNAcentral lists this ribosomal RNA (460 nucleotides) under uncultured bacterium. Its description in RNAcentral is "partial 16S ribosomal RNA". It matches the Rfam family "Bacterial small subunit ribosomal RNA", at positions 338 to 795 of the family's 1533-position model. The record is from RNAcentral.